Molecule: transfer RNA, 68 nt
Filed under: Sirex nitobei
Lineage: Eukaryota; Metazoa; Arthropoda; Insecta; Hymenoptera; Siricidae
Description: tRNA-Ile
Source: RNAcentral
UAUGAAAUGCCUGAAAUAUAAGGAAUAUUUUGAUAGAAUAUAUGAUGUAAUUUUUUUUACUUUCAUAU